CAAAUGGCAAGUGGGUUUUGUUUGUGUGUGUGUGGUGGGGGAGGGGAGUGGGCAGGAACUCAUGUAGCACAGGCGAGCAUUGAGCUAGCUACAUAGUUAAGGAUGACCCUGAACUUCUGACCCUCCUGCCUCCACUUCUCAAAUACUGGAAUCCUACACACAUGCCACCACACUUAGUUUUAUGACGUGUUGGAGAUGGAAUUUAGAACUUCACACUAGGCAAGCACUCUGCUGACUGAUCCACAUUCCCAGCCUCUGCUUCUAUCUGCACAUUUGAAUGAGAACUGCAGCUGCAUGCUUAGAGAGGGAGUCAGAGUAUGAACAAGAGGAUCUCCUUCCUCCCAAACACAUAUUUAAGAGCUGAUAUCAUAGCGUUAUGGCAGAAACUACAGAUGGAAGUGUAACUGGAUUCAAAUCAGGAAAUUUUGACUCUAUCGAAUGAAGACAGGGCAGAUUCAGGGGGAAACAUCCAAGGGCUGUACUAAGAAACUAAACAUCAACAGUUCAAACCAUCAUCAUCACCCUAAAACUAAUGUCUGCCAGAGGAAUAAAAUAGGUUACAAGCCA
Peromyscus maniculatus bairdii (prairie deer mouse) is the source of this 567-nucleotide non-coding RNA. NCBI's taxonomy places the organism in Eukaryota, Metazoa, Chordata, Mammalia, Rodentia, Cricetidae. The record is from RefSeq and is a predicted model, not a curated record.